AGACGUAGGGGGCGAGCGUUGUCCGGAAUUACUGGGCGUAAAGAGCACGUAGGCGGGACAUUAAGUCAGGUGUGAAAGACCGGGGCUCAACUCCGGGAUUGCACUUGAAACUGAAGUUCUUGAGGGCAGGAGAGGAAAGCAGAAUUCCUGGUGUAGCGGUGAAAUGCGUAGAAAUCAGGAGGAAUACCAGUGGCGAAGGCGGCUUUCUGGACUGACCCUGACGCUGAGGUGCGAAAGCGUGGGUAGC
RNAcentral lists this ribosomal RNA (247 nucleotides) under uncultured bacterium. RNAcentral's name for it is "partial 16S ribosomal RNA". It matches the Rfam family "Bacterial small subunit ribosomal RNA", at positions 523 to 769 of the family's 1533-position model. The record is from RNAcentral.